GUGGGGAAUAUUGGACAAUGGGCGAAAGCCUGAUCCAGCCAUGCCGCGUGUGUGAAGAAGGUCUUCGGAUUGUAAAGCACUUUAAGUUGGGAGGAAGGGUAGUAACCUAAUACGUUGCUACUUUGACGUUACCGACAGAAUAAGCACCGGCUAACUUCGUGCCAGCAGCCGCGGUAAUACGAAGGGUGCAAGCGUUAAUCGGAAUUACUGGGCGUAAAGCGCGCGUAGGUGGUUCAGUAAGUUGGAAGGGAAAUCACCGGGGUCAACCUGGGAACUGCGUUCAAAACUGCUGAGCUAGAGUACGGUAGAGGGUGGUGGAAUUUCCUGUGUAGCGGUGAAAUGCGUAGAUAUAGGAAGGAACACCAGUGGCGAAGGCGACCACCUGGACUGAUACUGACACUGAGGUGCGAAAGCGUGGGGAGCAAACAGGAUUAGAAACCCCUGUAGUCC
Molecule: ribosomal RNA, 450 nt
Filed under: uncultured bacterium
Lineage: Bacteria
Description: partial 16S ribosomal RNA
Rfam family: Bacterial small subunit ribosomal RNA
Source: RNAcentral